Molecule: ribosomal RNA, 740 nt
Filed under: uncultured bacterium
Lineage: Bacteria
Description: SSU rRNA
Rfam family: Bacterial small subunit ribosomal RNA
Source: RNAcentral
GCCUGAACCAGCCACGUCGCGUGAAGGAAGACGGCCUACGGGUUGUAAACUUCGUUUUGUAAGGGAAUAAAGUGCAGUACGCGUACUGUUUUGCAUGUACCUUACGAAUAAGGAUCGGCUAACUCCGUGCCAGCAGCCGCGGUAAUACGGAGGAUCCGAGCGUUAUCCGGAUUUAUUCGGGGUUUAAAAGGGUGCGCAGGCGGGAGAUUAAGUCGGCGGUGAAAUUUUGCAGCUCAACUGUAAAAGUGCCUUCGAAACUGGUUUUCUUGAGUGUAGAUGAAGUAGGCGGAAUUUGUGGUGUAGCGGUGAAAUGCAUAGAUAUCACGAGGAACUCCGAUUGCGCAGGCAGCUUACUAAGCUACAACUGACGCUCAGGCACGAAGGCGUGGGGAUCAAACAGGAUUAGAUACCCUGGUAGUCCACGCAGUAAACGAUGAUUACUCGCUGUUUGCGAUAUACAGUAAGCGGCUUAGCGAAAGCGUUAAGUAAUCCACCUGGGGAGUACGUUCGCAAGAAUGAAACUCAAAGGAAUUGACGGGGGCCCGCACAAGCGGAGGAACAUGUGGUUUAAUUCGAUGAUACGCGAGGAACCUUACCCGGGCUUGAAAUGCAUCUGACAGGGGCGGAGACGCCCUCUCCCUUCGGGGCAGAUGUGUAGGUGCUGCAUGGUUGUCGUCAGCUCGUGCCGUGAGGUGUCGGCUUAAGUGCCAUAACGAGCGCAACCCUCAUCAUUAGUUACC